This 88-nucleotide transfer RNA is filed under the name Gammaproteobacteria bacterium. RNAcentral describes it as "tRNA-Leu". It matches the Rfam family "tRNA". Rfam says of the family: Transfer RNA (tRNA) molecules are approximately 80 nucleotides in length. Their secondary structure includes four short double-helical elements and three loops (D, anti-codon, and T loops). The record is from RNAcentral. Lineage: Bacteria; Pseudomonadati; Pseudomonadota; Gammaproteobacteria.
GGGGAUGUGGUGGACUUGGUAGACACGAGAGACUUAAAAUCUCUUGGCUAUAGCAGCCGUGCCGGUUCGAUUCCGGCCGUCCCUACCA